This 501-nucleotide ribosomal RNA is filed under the name uncultured bacterium. RNAcentral's name for it is "partial 16S ribosomal RNA". It matches the Rfam family "Bacterial small subunit ribosomal RNA", at positions 30 to 523 of the family's 1533-position model. The record is from RNAcentral.
AUUGAACGCUGGCGGCAGGCUUAACACAUGCAAGUCGAGCGGAGGAAGGUAGCUUGCUACCGGACCUAGCGGCGGACGGGUGAGUAAUGCUUAGGAAUCUGCCUAUUAGUGGGGGACAACAUCUCGAAAGGGAUGCUAAUACCGCAUACGUCCUACGGGAGAAAGCAGGGGAUCUUCGGACCUUGCGCUAAUAGAUGAGCCUAAGUCGGAUUAGCUAGUUGGUGGGGUAAAGGCCUACCAAGGCGACGAUCUGUAGCGGGUCUGAGAGGAUGAGCCGCCACACUGGGACUGAGACACGGCCCAGACUCCUGAGGGAGGCAGCAGUGGGGAAUAUUGGACAAUGGGGGGAACCCUGAUCCAGCCAUGCCGCGUGUGUGAAGAAGGCCUUAUGGUUGUAAAGCACUUUAAGCGAGGAGGAGGCUACUCUAGUUAAUACCUAGGGAUAGUGGACGUUGCUCGCAGAAUAAGCACCGGCUAACUCUGUGCCAGCCGCCGCCGUAA